Molecule: long non-coding RNA, 386 nt
Filed under: Hordeum vulgare
Lineage: Eukaryota; Viridiplantae; Streptophyta; Magnoliopsida; Poales; Poaceae
Description: long non-coding RNA (HVUL_LNC008595)
Source: RNAcentral
UCGGUAUAGGCACAGUAUGGACUCUGAGCGACAUUCUUCCGUGUCCUUUCCUAGUCCGUUCGUCGGUGACACAGCGUUCAUUUUCCCACCUCCGUAUUCACCCUUGUUUUGCCGCCUAGCCUCAUCAUUGCCGCACUGUUCCGACCGCGACCGCACCACUCAGGCGUCGCCGCCGCAUCCACCAACGUAUCCACCGCCAUCGGAUCAAACGAGACCGACGUCUGUGGCCGCUCCUCGCCACCGGUGUAGCACGAGAAGCUACGCCUGCCAAGGGUCGUUGGCCGCGCCCUCGCCUGCACGGUCACCACCGGAGGGUGCAGACUGAAAAUGAAAAAACUGUCCAUUUGAUUGACAACGACAAUACAAAGGGCAUCUUAAAGCUUGCA